This 495-nucleotide ribosomal RNA is filed under the name uncultured bacterium. RNAcentral's name for it is "partial 16S ribosomal RNA". It matches the Rfam family "Bacterial small subunit ribosomal RNA", at positions 29 to 506 of the family's 1533-position model. The record is from RNAcentral.
AUGAACGCUGGCGGCGUGCCUCAUACAUGCAAGUCGAGCGAACGGACGAGAAGCUUGCUUUUCUGAUGUUAGCGGCGGACGGGUGAGUAACACGUGGAUAACCUACCUAUAAGACUGGGAUAACUUCGGGAAACCGGAGCUAAUACCGGAUAAUAUUUUGAACCGCAUGGUUCAAAAGUGAAAGACGGUCUUGCUGUCACUUAUAGAUGGAUCCGCGCUGCAUUAGCUAGUUGGUAAGGUAACGGCUUACCAAGGCAACGAUGCAUAGCCGACCUGAGAGGGUGAUCGGCCACACUGGAACUGAGACACGGUCCAGACUCCUACGGGAGGCAGCAGUAGGGAAUCUUCCGCAAUGGGCGAAAGCCUGACGGAGCAACGCCGCGUGAGUGAUGAAGGUCUUCGGAUCGUAAAACUCUGUUAUUAGGGAAGAACAUAUGUGUAAGUAACUGUGCACAUCUUGACGGUACCUAAUCAGAAAGCCACGGCUAACUACGU